CGGCACACUCGCACACACACA
This 21-nucleotide microRNA is filed under the name Drosophila melanogaster (fruit fly). RNAcentral describes it as "dme-miR-4949-5p". Lineage: Eukaryota; Metazoa; Arthropoda; Insecta; Diptera; Drosophilidae. The record is from miRBase by way of RNAcentral.